UACGAGAGGCCCAAACGUUAUUCGGAAUUACUGGGCUUAAAGAGUUCGUAGGCGGCGCAGAAAGUAGGGUGUGAAAUCUCCACGCUCAACGUGGAGGCGCCACCUGAAACUGCCGUGACUAGAGUCCGGUAGGGGAGUGUGGAAUUCCCGGUGUAGCGGUGAAAUGCGCAGAUAUCGGGAGGAACACCAGUGGCGAAGGCGGAUCUCUGGGCCUUACCUGACGCUGAGGCGCGAAAGCUAGGGGAGCAAACAGG
RNAcentral lists this ribosomal RNA (254 nucleotides) under uncultured bacterium. Its description in RNAcentral is "partial 16S ribosomal RNA". It matches the Rfam family "Bacterial small subunit ribosomal RNA", at positions 524 to 776 of the family's 1533-position model. The record is from RNAcentral.